CAAACUUCAAACCAAAAUAUUGAAAUCAUCUCAUAGUAGUAAUGAUGUAAAUCAAAACAUGCCUUAGAGGGAAUAUUAUUUGUACAAUUCAAUCUUUACAUCACAUAAUAGUAUUAUAACUCAAGAAUAUGAAGUUAGGGUAUGAACCCUAAUUGCAAUUUAUGUAAAUUCAACUUUAAAACUAGUUUUGGGCAUAAGGAUAAAAGAGUAUCCUUGUUUAUAAACUCCACAUACCUUGU
Molecule: long non-coding RNA, 239 nt
Filed under: Capsicum annuum
Lineage: Eukaryota; Viridiplantae; Streptophyta; Magnoliopsida; Solanales; Solanaceae
Description: long non-coding RNA (CANN_LNC000915)
Source: RNAcentral